AAGUCGUAACAAGGUUUCCGUAGGUGAACCUGCGGAAGGAUCAUUAACACGUACGAAAGUACACACCAACACUGAGCACCUUUUUGGUACAACCUCUCCCUUUCGAUGUGGGCUGUUAGUAUGAAUGCUGCUAUAGGACAUUCAUCUAGCAGGCUCGUGUCUUUACACGAACCCACUCUGAAGGUUACCUUUCCUUAGCACAUUUUACCAUUACCCACUCUGAAGGUUACCUUUCCUUAGCACAUUUUACCAUUAUCACCUAUAAUUACAUUUGUCUAAUGUAGCGGCACAGAGAAAUCCGUGCAGCUUGAUUAUCUAAACUAAGCACAACUCUUAGCAAUGGAUAUCUAGGUUCUC
Molecule: unclassified non-coding RNA, 357 nt
Filed under: fungal sp.
Lineage: Eukaryota; Fungi
Description: partial internal transcribed spacer region
Rfam family: Eukaryotic small subunit ribosomal RNA (bases 1-46)
Source: RNAcentral